This 460-nucleotide ribosomal RNA is filed under the name uncultured bacterium. RNAcentral describes it as "partial 16S ribosomal RNA". It matches the Rfam family "Bacterial small subunit ribosomal RNA", at positions 338 to 795 of the family's 1533-position model. The record is from RNAcentral.
CCUACGGGAGGCAGCAGUGAGGAAUAUUGGUCAAUGGGCUUACGCCUGAACCAGCCAAGUCGCGUGAGGGAAGACUGCCCUAUGGGUUGUAAACCUCUUUUGUCAGGGAGCAACGCCGGCUACGUGUAGCCGGACUGAGAGUACCUGAAGAAAAAGCAUCGGCUAACUCCGUGCCAGCAGCCGCGGUAAUACGGAGGAUGCGAGCGUUAUCCGGAUUUAUUGGGUUUAAAGGGUGCGUAGGCGGAAUGCCAAGUCAGCGGUAAAAUCGCGGGGCUCAACCUCGCUCCGCCGUUGAAACUGGCGGUCUUGAGUGGGAGAGAAGUAUGCGGAAUGCGUGGUGUAGCGGUGAAAUGCAUAGAUAUCGCGCAGAACUCCGAUUGCGAAGGCAGCAUACCGGCGCCAAACUGACGCUGAAGCACGAAAGCGUGGGUAUCGAACAGGAUUAGAUACCCGAGUAGUC